GACAAAAGUGAAUCUUGAUCUUUCUUCUUGAUAGUUUGUGAUCGAGCCAAUCUCACAAUUUCGAUCUUGCUACUACCACUAUAGCCCUGAGUGACUAUGGCUACCUGAACUGAAGGAGUUCUCACAAGACCUGUGAAUGUCAACUUCACUCUAAGGGUAAAGCAUGCUCGCUCCUUCGCUCGUACGAACAAUCACUCGUUGCUGGGAGCUCUAUCCUCCUCGCACUACUAAAAACAGGGUGAAAGAAUCUCCCGCGUUCAGUCUGUGGAGGCCGACCAUCAUAGUCGUCUCUACACCAAGUUGGUCUUAAAGUCUACUCUGACUUGCGGCAAGUUGCCUCAACACUGCUGGUCCUUGUUGACUCGCGGCAAGCUUUCUACAUCAACCCCUAAGGUGCUUAAAAGUCUUGUGCUCUCUCUAUUUUCCUAUCGUGGGGAAUUAAUUAGGAGACUAGUGAGUUCGCCCAAAACGUCACCUACUCUGAGAGGAUACUAUUCUCCCUUCUCUGCCCAGUGAAUCUGGAACCCUAGUUG
Molecule: long non-coding RNA, 533 nt
Filed under: Hordeum vulgare
Lineage: Eukaryota; Viridiplantae; Streptophyta; Magnoliopsida; Poales; Poaceae
Description: long non-coding RNA (HVUL_LNC004336)
Source: RNAcentral